UGAAGAAAAGUUGAAAAGUACUUUGAAGAGUUAACGAGUACGUGAAACCGUUCAGAGGUAAACCUAAGAAACCCAAAAAAUCGAACGGGGAGAUUCAUCGUCAACGAAACUGGCUUCGCGUCGGUGGGCGAUAACCCCGCGGUGUGUCCUAAGCGGCACGCGCGUGCGGGCACGUNNCCGAACGCCGAUGUCCGGUUUUCGUCGUCGUGCACUUCUCUCCUAGUAGAACGUCGCGACUCGCUGUGUGUCGGUCACCGACCCGGGUGCGGUUACUGUCACGUCGCCCGUAAAAACGGCGCGCGGCAAACACCCCCGGUCGCCCGACCAGCUGCCCGGCGGUACACGUACGUAUCAGGCCGCACCAACGG
RNAcentral lists this ribosomal RNA (368 nucleotides) under Pseudomyrmex aff. flavicornis-b MAS-2013. Its description in RNAcentral is "eukaryotic LSU rRNA". Lineage: Eukaryota; Metazoa; Arthropoda; Insecta; Hymenoptera; Formicidae. The record is from RNAcentral.